GGCAGUUCUCGGGUGACGAACCCUGGAAUCGGGCUCCCUCUUCUCUGGUUCCAGGUGCAUCACCUGAGAACUGCA
This is a non-coding RNA of Myotis brandtii (Brandt's bat), 75 nucleotides long. The record is from Rfam. NCBI's taxonomy places the organism in Eukaryota, Metazoa, Chordata, Mammalia, Chiroptera, Vespertilionidae.